Molecule: long non-coding RNA, 425 nt
Organism: Photinus pyralis (common eastern firefly)
Lineage: Eukaryota; Metazoa; Arthropoda; Insecta; Coleoptera; Lampyridae
Exons: 3
Source: RefSeq, a predicted model, not a curated record
ACACAAACGAAGAACAUAAAUCGGGCAGCGACAACACGUAGAAAACAAGUUUGAAGUAAAAUCGGAACAGAUACGGCUCCCAAGUUUCACAUAUACGAAGAAGCUAAAAGAUUAUAUUGCUAUAGACACGGGACUAAAAGGUCCGCAUAAAGCGAUAUGGAAUACUACCCAAUUGAGGCAACCAAAAAAAACCUCCGACUAAAUACGGGUAGCUAUUCUAUUUGUCUGGCCCAAAUUCUUGAAUAUUCCUUCGUAUGAAGAUUGGUAAUAGCUCAGGAAAUUGGAAACAGGAAAAAUCACCGAAAAGAAUGUUAUCAGAAGGAAAUUAGCUUAUCAAGAAAAGAAUACAAGAAAGAAAGUUCGAAAACGGAAAAGCACUAACAGAAAAUUAGAGAGCAACCCACAACACAUAGAAGUCAAGGUGU